This 351-nucleotide ribosomal RNA is filed under the name Triticum aestivum (bread wheat). RNAcentral describes it as "partial small subunit ribosomal RNA". Lineage: Eukaryota; Viridiplantae; Streptophyta; Magnoliopsida; Poales; Poaceae. The record is from RNAcentral.
AUGGCGGAGGAACCGUCCGCCAAGCGUCAUCAUGGCGAGAUGUCGGACAAGACUAGCAACCUCGUCGACGUUCACGUCCCCGACGAGAAGCGCGAGCACACCACAACACUCACAGGGGUUGAGCUCCACGGCAAGGAGAUGGUGGAGAUCGUCUGCACCAGCAAACGAGACAAGGCCGACGAGAUGAUCUCCAGGCUCUGGAGGAAGGCCGGCGGCAAGCUUCGUAAGAUCGUCGGCGUUGGUGUGCACUACACCAGCGAAAAUGAACCUCCCCAGAUGGCAGCAGUCCUGCAGUUGUGCGUCGAUGAGCUCUGCUCGGUGUACCACAUCGCAGCGGCCACAAAAUGGUGA